ACGCACGCUGGCGGCGUGCUUAACACAUGCAAGUCGAACGGAAAGGCCCUGCUUUUGUGGGGUGCUCGAGUGGCGAACGGGUGAGUAACACGUGAGUAACCUGCCCUUGACUUUGGGAUAACUUCAGGAAACUGGGGCUAAUACCGGAUAGGAGCUCCUGCUGCAUGGUGGGGGUUGGAAAGUUUCGGCGGUUGGGGAUGGACUCGCGGCUUAUCAGCUUGUUGGUGGGGUAGUGGCUUACCAAGGCUUUGACGGGUAGCCGGCCUGAGAGGAUGACCGGCCACAUUGGGACUGAGAUACGGCCCAGACUCCUACGGGAGGCAGCAGUGGGGAAUAUUGCACAAUGGGCGGAAGCCUGAUGCAGCAACGCCGCGUGCGGGAUGACGGCCUUCGGGUUGUAAACCGCUUUCGCCUGUGACGAAGCGUGAGUGACGGUAAUGGGUAAAGAAGCACCGGCUAACUACGUG
Molecule: ribosomal RNA, 467 nt
Filed under: uncultured bacterium
Lineage: Bacteria
Description: partial 16S ribosomal RNA
Rfam family: Bacterial small subunit ribosomal RNA
Source: RNAcentral